AGGAACCCAACCCCAAAAUUCAAAUCCCAAAAGUUGUUUGAAGGGCUUUAUAGCUUUACGGUGCAAACUGCAACUUUCAAAAGUGUCAUGUGUUGCACAUUACAAUGUACAUAGCCAGGUUUUCAUUUCUAAAUUCCCACGAAUGGCAUUCAAAACCUUUCUUUUUCAUUGUCUGAAAAGUUACUAAGUAAUUUGUAAAGUUGGUAACGGGUACCCAUCCCAUUAUCUGGAACCGGUUCCUGACAUCACUGGUCGGGUACCCGGGUACAUGGGUACAUCAGGUACCCGGGCACAUGGGUACAUCAGGUACCCGGGCACAUGGGUACAUCAGGUACCCGGGUACUUGGGUACAUCAGGUACCCGGGUACUUGGGUACAUCAGGUACCCGGGUACUUGGGUACAUCAGGUACUUGGGUACAUCAGGUACUUGGGUACAUCAGGUACCCGGGUACUUGGGUACAUCAGGUACCCGGGUACUUGGGUACAUCAGGUACUUGGGUACAUCAGGUACUUGGGCACAUCAGGUACCCGGGUACUUGGGUACAUCAGGUACCCGGGUACUUGGGUACAUCAGGUUCCCGGGUACUUGGGUACAUCAGGUACCCGGGUACUUGGGUACAUCAGGUACCCGGGUACUUGGGUACAUCAGGUACCCGGGUACUUGGGCACAUCAGGUACCCGGGUACUUGGGUACAUCAGGUACCCGGGUACUUGGGUACUAGGGUGCCCGGGUAUCGGGUUCAGAUGCGCACCCCCUAAUGACAUAUAAAUUUACACUAAUCCUGUUUGUAAAAACAAGGUGAGGGUUUCCUUUUCCCCAAAACAGACAAGUUCUGUAAAUACUGUGAAUUGCAGUUGUUUUGAACAUUUACACUGUUUAUUAACUGUGGCCUGUCCACCUAUAGUUUAAGCAUGUUGUACAGAGGUCCAGAAUAUUUUCAAGUUUCCCUAAAUUUUAAAGGCUUUUCUCAAGUAUUGAGAUAAAUUAUGUUUUUUUUAUUGGCAGAACAUUUGUUCAUAGUACUCUGAAAUGUUGGCUGGCAAAUGUACGACUCCCGGUAACCUUUGACCUUUGUUGUUGCCAUGACCACACUGAAUUGGGUCAGAGGUCAACUGACUGUCCAAAACUAAAAUGGAAACUGAUUAUUAGGUCUUGAUAUCUCGUAAAAAAAACAACCUUCCCUGCAAUUUCUAUGUGUUUAAAUAAACUGUAUUGUUUUUGUCCAUAACUGUAAGUUAGUAUGUUUAGAAUCAUGCGUAUCUACAAUAUGCUAUAACCAUUGUUGAUUAAUCACAGAUUAUAUUUGUAUAAAGUAAAACGGAGCAAUGAUUUAUUAAAAUCAAAAUAAGAAAUUUAUUGAAACGUUAUACAUAGUGUCAAUGUAUACAUGUGCUUUAAAUGCUGAUAUUAAUUUUCGAGUUUUACUCCCCGUAGUUUCAGUAAAUAAACUUAGUUGCUUGUGUAUUCAGCAUGUAGCAUAAUUCGUACGGAAAGAAAAAAAAAGAAAAAGAAAAAAAAACACCCCAACAAAAUGAAUUCCUCAGAUGAUGUCUAUAUGAUGUAGCAUUGGGAGUUCGUCUGGACAUUCCUAGUUAGUAAUUUUGUUUGUCACCAUGGUUACCGUUAUGGUUUACUGAUGAACUUUCUGAUAUUUUGACUUUAUUCCUAGGUUUGAAAUGGAACUUGUCUUUCAUAUCCAAUACUGAAAAGAUAUGGUCUUUGUUGAAUAUUUUCUCCUUUUUUCGUCUCUUUUUAUUGUGAGAACUUGUUGGAUUUUGGUAGGCCCCUAAGAGGUAAUUGUCUCGGAGCCUGGAAAUGUCUUCAAACUUGUCACAAUUUUGAUGCUUCCUGAUAAGAGCACGUUCUCAAAUGGUUGGUUAUAAAUAUUAUCUUAUUCAAUUCUUAUUCAAAAUAGAACACCAUUUUUUUCGAUAUGUGGAUAUACAUUGUAAACUAUUUUAUUUGGAUUUGAUGUAAUGGUUACAAAACUUUACCCUUUCGUAACAUCUCUCUGGGGUAUGGUUCCAGAAUUUAAAAAAAAAAGUUAUUGAGCUGCGUUUUCAUUGCAGGAAUGAGUAAUAUUCAUUAUUUGGAACUGGUUUGAAAUUUCUGGAGAGGUUUUUGGUUUGAAAAAAAUAAGUUCGCUUCAAGUAAAUCUUGGGACUAGAAUGAUUUUCGGGCUUUUUUCUUUUCUAGCCCCUAAAUAAAACGGUGCCAGGAUUUUCAAAGUUUUACUCUGUCAUAUUAAAGUUGGGCAAAAGCAAAGGCGCUUUUUUGUCUGCGUUAGCCAAGUUGGAAUAGUGAAACCUGCUAACCCAAGUGGUGUUUUUCACCGUCACACUUUGAAAGGCAACACCCGAAUUCUACCAGAAAAGCUCUUUAAUAGGAUUAUUCUGAUAUUAAAGAAGCAACAGAAGAUGUAAUUAUAAAAUGUUACUGGAUACAAAAGUGUACUGCACGGAAAAAUUUAAAAUUUGCCCCAACAAUUUGCCUAUUCAUGAAGUUAAAUGAAUUAUACAUAAAUAGUAAUUAUAAGUUCCCUUUAUUGUGUAGUUUUAAACCGAAGUCACAUGAAGCCAACGUAAUUGCUAUGGCAACGGUUGCAAGAGACUGAUCACGUGACUGGUCACAUACUUGUCACAUGACUUGUCACAUGACUUGUCACAUGAUUUGUCACAUGAUUUGUCACAUGACAGGCUUUAUAGACUUGUAUUUAAUGUAGAAACACGUUUUCUGUAACCUUUUGUACUAAAAUAUAUAUCAGCCCUAAAUACGUUGGAAUUGCACUAAAUUACGCACAUCGUUGACGAAGUGUGCUGAGGCAUUACGGUAAGGAAUCACUUAAUGUGUAUUAUAACAGAUAUUCGUCCUGUGGGUUUUUGGGGCAUUUAUGUAUUUCGAACCAUUGGUUCAAAAGGGGCCGAAAAUAGUUCACCUUAUUUCUCUUUGUUGGAACAAUAAUAAUGGGCGCUGAAAAUGUGUGAGCUGUUGAAUAAAAAUGUUUAUUAGACCAAGACA
Molecule: long non-coding RNA, 3019 nt
Organism: Patiria miniata (bat star)
Lineage: Eukaryota; Metazoa; Echinodermata; Asteroidea; Valvatida; Asterinidae
Exons: 2
Source: RefSeq, a predicted model, not a curated record